Molecule: ribosomal RNA, 497 nt
Filed under: uncultured bacterium
Lineage: Bacteria
Description: partial 16S ribosomal RNA
Rfam family: Bacterial small subunit ribosomal RNA
Source: RNAcentral
GAUGAACGCUGGCGGCGUGCCUAAUACAUGCAAGUCGAGCGAACAGACGAGGAGCUUGCUCCUCUGACGUUAGCGGCGGACGGGUGAGUAACACGUGGAUAACCUACCUAUAAGACUGGGAUAACUUCGGGAAACCGGAGCUAAUACCGGAUAACAUGUUGAACCGCAUGGUUCAACAGUGAAAGACGGUCUUGCUGUCACUUAUAGAUGGAUCCGCGCCGCAUUAGCUAGUUGGUAAGGUAACGGCUUACCAAGGCAACGAUGCGUAGCCGACCUGAGAGGGUGAUCGGCAACACUGGAACUGAGACACGGUCCAGACUCCUACGGGAGGAAGCAGUAGGGAAUCUUCCGCAAUGGGCGAAAGCCUGACGGAGCAACGCCACGUGAGUGAAGAAGGUCUUCGGAUCGUAAAACUCUGUUAUUAGGGAAGAACAAAUGUGUAAGUAACUAUGCACGUCUUGACGGUACCUAAUCAGAAAGCCACGGCUAACUACGUG